RNAcentral lists this ribosomal RNA (670 nucleotides) under uncultured eukaryote. RNAcentral's name for it is "bacterial SSU rRNA". It matches the Rfam family "Eukaryotic small subunit ribosomal RNA", at positions 1 to 776 of the family's 1831-position model. The record is from RNAcentral.
CCGAUAACCUGGUUGAUCCUGCCAGUAGUCAUAUGCUCCUUUUAAAGAUUAAGCCAUGCAUGUCUAAGUACAAACUAAAUUUUGGUGAAACUGCAAAUGGCUCAUUACAACGGUUAUGAUGUACCCGGGAUUUCCGAUGGAUAUUUCCAGUAUCUCUAGAGCUAAUACAUGUAACUGCGUUUAUUAGUUUCAAACAAAUCUGUCGCUGAGUCAUGGUAAACGGUUGAUCGACUCGACGUCCCGGAACAGUUUCCGCCCCAUCAGCUUCGAUGGUUGGGUAUUGGCCUACCAUUGCAACAACGGGUAACGAGGAAUUAGGGUUUGAUUUCGGAGAGGGAGCCUGAGAAACGGCUACCACAUCUACGGAUGGCAGCAGGUGCGCAAAUUACCCAAUGCAGACACUGUGAGGGAGUGACGAGAAAUAAUAAAGCGGGGCUUCUGUCUUGCUAUUAUAAUGAGGAAUAACUAAAUGUCAUUCCUAUUAGCAACUGAUGGGAAAGUCUGGUGCCGGCAGCCGCGGUAAUACCAGCUUCAGUAGCAUAUAUUAAAAUUGUUGCAGUUAAAACGUCCGUAGUCUGUACGUCGUCCAAGACUUUACUACAUCUCUGCAUGUUCUUUAUUGGGCGGGUAGGUUGUUUGUAGUUACUCCCUUGAUCAAAAUAGAAUGUUC